RNAcentral lists this transfer RNA (85 nucleotides) under Felis catus (domestic cat). It matches the Rfam family "tRNA". Rfam says of the family: Transfer RNA (tRNA) molecules are approximately 80 nucleotides in length. Their secondary structure includes four short double-helical elements and three loops (D, anti-codon, and T loops). Lineage: Eukaryota; Metazoa; Chordata; Mammalia; Carnivora; Felidae. The record is from Rfam by way of RNAcentral.
GCCUGGGUGGCUCAGUUGGUUAAGCAUCCGACUUCAGCUCAGGUCACGAUCUUGCAGUCCGUGAGUUCGAGCCCCGCCUCGGGCU